AGUAAAAGACACCCUAGAUUUCUAUGUCCAAUGUUUGAUCUUCCGUCUUAUAUAAAAUUUUUUUAUAAUUAGUAUUUUUAUUAUUGUUAGAUGAUAAAACAUAAUUAAUACUUUAUGUGUGACUUGUCUUUUUAAUUUUUUUCAUAAUUUUUUAAAUAAGAUGAACGGUCAAACGUUGAACAUGGAAACUUAGGGUUUGUCUUUUU
Molecule: non-coding RNA, 206 nt
Organism: Oryza glumipatula
Lineage: Eukaryota; Viridiplantae; Streptophyta; Magnoliopsida; Poales; Poaceae
Source: Rfam